GCGCUGUUAGCUCAGUUGGUUAGAGUAUCACCUUGACAUGGUGGGGGUCGUAGAUUCGAAUUCUACACAGCGCACCA
RNAcentral lists this transfer RNA (77 nucleotides) under Selenomonadaceae bacterium. RNAcentral describes it as "tRNA-Val". The record is from RNAcentral. Lineage: Bacteria; Bacillati; Bacillota; Negativicutes; Selenomonadales; Selenomonadaceae.